This 258-nucleotide long non-coding RNA is filed under the name Mytilus galloprovincialis (Mediterranean mussel). Lineage: Eukaryota; Metazoa; Mollusca; Bivalvia; Mytilida; Mytilidae. The record is from RNAcentral.
CCUACAUCACAGGUAAUUCAUAUAUAUUUAACUGACAAUCAUAUCUACACCACAGAUAACUCAUAUCUACUUUACUGACAGUCAAAUCUACACCACAGGAAACUCAUAUCUACUUUACUGACAGUCAAACCUACACUACAGGUAACUCAUAUCUACUUUACUGACAGUCAAAUCUACACCACAGGUAAUUCAUAUCUACUUUACUGACAGGCAAAUCUACACCACAGGCAAUUCAUAUCUACUGUACUGACAGUCAAA